GUAGGGAAUAUUGGACAAUGGGCGAAAGCCUGAUCCAGCCAUGCCGCGUGAUAGAUGAAGGCCCUCUGGGUUGUAAAUAUCUUUUAUCUGGGAAGAAACUCCUCUAUUCUUAGAGGCCUGACGGUACCAGAGGAAUAAGCACCGGCUAACUCCGUGCCAGCAGCCGCGGUAAUACGGAGGGUGCAAGCGUUAUCCGGAUUCACUGGGUUUAAAGGGUGCGUAGGCGGGUUGAUAAGUCAGUGGUGAAAGAUCCGGGCUUAACUUGGAAACUGCCAUUGAUACUGUCAGUCUUGAAUGUCGUAGAGGUAAGCGGAAUGUUGCAUGUAGCGGUGAAAUGCUUAGAUAUGUUACAGAACACCAAUUGCGAAGGCAGCUUACUAUGCGAUAAUUGACGCUGAGGCACGAAAGCGUGGGGAGCAAACAGGAUUAGAUACCCGAGUAGUCC
Molecule: ribosomal RNA, 445 nt
Filed under: uncultured bacterium
Lineage: Bacteria
Description: partial 16S ribosomal RNA
Rfam family: Bacterial small subunit ribosomal RNA
Source: RNAcentral